This 550-nucleotide ribosomal RNA is filed under the name uncultured bacterium. Its description in RNAcentral is "bacterial SSU rRNA". It matches the Rfam family "Bacterial small subunit ribosomal RNA", at positions 777 to 1322 of the family's 1533-position model. The record is from RNAcentral.
AAUAGAUACCCGGGUAGUCCACGCCAUAAACGAUGACAACUAGACGUCGGAAGGAUCUGCCUUUCGGUGUCGCAGCUAACGCGUUAAGUUGUCCGCCUGGGGAGUACGGCCGCAAGGUUGAGACUCAAAGAAAUUGACGGGGGACCCGCACAAGCGGUGGAGCAUGUGGUUUAAUUCGAUGCAACGCGAAGAACCUUACCUGGUCUUGACAUGUCCGGAAGGCCGCAGAGAUGUGGCUGUGCCCGAAAAGGAACCGGAACACAGGUGCUGCAUGGCUGUCGUCAGCUCGUGUCGUGAGAUGUUGGGUUAAGUCCCGCAACGAGCGCAACCCUUGUCCUUAGUUGCCAGCACGUUCGGGUGGGCACUCUAAGGAGACCGCCGGUGACAAACCGGAGGAAGGUGGGGAUGACGUCAAGUCAUCAUGGCCUUUAUGACCAGGGCUACACACGUGCUACAAUGGCCGGUACAAAGGGUCGCCGAACCCGUAAGGGGGAGCCAAUCCCAUAAAGCCGGUCGUAGUCCGGAUCGGAGUCUGCAACUCGACUCCGGU